UCAAUAAUAAAUUCUGCUAAAGAAACUCAAGUCAUCGUGCAUUAUUUUUUUGCUUUUGAAAAAGAUCCAGUAAUGCUCAUCAAUAAAUUAUUAUUCUUAUCCAAUACAAAUGCAUAUAUAUGGCCGGAACAUAAAAAUGUGAGGUUCAUUUAAGCUUUAUAAAUUAGUUAAUAACAAACUAUGUUGCGUGGAUAUUCUGUAUUUUAAAUCUCAUUGAUGAAAAACUGAAGUUUUGUGCAUAGAGUAAGUUAUAUAUGAAGAUAUAAUGGAUAUAUAUAGAAGCAGCCUCUUGUGAUUGUCACCCUGCUGAGGGAACAGUGUAAUUAUCUGGAAGAAGUCCCGACAAAGAGACAGAGUAAAUGUGGUGCCAUGCGUUUGGACCUAAUUUGGAGCUUAGAAUAUGAAAUGGAGAUUUGAGAGUGAAGUAAUGCAAACGAAUGUGCUAGAUAGAACCACUUCAGUUCCUAUAUAUUAACUUCUGCUCCAUCCAAAUGUGGCAGAGAUAGAAAUAGAAUGCUUUUCCUUGUCUCGUUGCAAUGAGAGGCUCCUUUGGAAGAAAUAAUUGUUUUGGUGCAGCCUAGGUCUAUCUGACAUGCAGAGUACGGGUACCAAAUUUUGACCAAGCUUAGACCAAGUAUAAUAUAUAAUUUGUAUAAUUUGUUACCUUUCAAAAGUUAGCCACGUGAUCACGUGCCGAUCGCGGGGCUCAAAAAUCAAAGGCCAUGUGAUGAGGCUUCAAGUGUAAUUAAUGGCUUUUUAUAGUAUUAAUUAAUUGAGAGAUCAUUUACUUCC
Glycine soja is the source of this 792-nucleotide long non-coding RNA. RefSeq lists it as uncharacterized. The record is from RefSeq and is a predicted model, not a curated record. Lineage: Eukaryota; Viridiplantae; Streptophyta; Magnoliopsida; Fabales; Fabaceae. The transcript is spliced from 2 exons.